Molecule: RNase P RNA, 427 nt
Filed under: Anaerolineales bacterium
Lineage: Bacteria; Bacillati; Chloroflexota; Anaerolineae; Anaerolineales
Also listed under: 1 other name
Description: RNase P RNA component class A
Rfam family: Bacterial RNase P class A
About the family: Ribonuclease P (RNase P) is a ubiquitous endoribonuclease, found in archaea, bacteria and eukarya as well as chloroplasts and mitochondria. Its best characterised activity is the generation of mature 5'-ends of tRNAs by cleaving the 5'-leader elements of precursor-tRNAs.
Source: RNAcentral
CAAGUUGACCGGGUGGUCGCGGCUUCUCGUUUCCCUUUGCGGAAGCGGUGAGGUCGAGGAAAGUCCGCACUCCGCGGAGCAUGGCGCCGGCUAACGGCCGGACGGGGCGACCCGAUGGAAUAGUGCAACAGAGAGGUGUAUUGCCCGGCCUCCGGGCUGGGCGAGGGUGAAACGGUGGUGUAAGAGACCACCGGUGGUGGCAGUAAUGUCGCCAGCCAGGUAAACCCCGCCAGGAGCAAGGCCAAGCAGGAUGAAAAUGGGGCGGCGGCAUGUCCGCCGCGUCCGUUACGGGGCUGCUCGUUCCGUCUGACAUCCGGGUAGGCCGCCAGAGAGCGCCAGCAAUGGCGUUCCCAGACAGAUGAUCACCACUUGCUGCCGGCAUUUGCCGCGGCAGGUACAGAAUGCGGCUUACAGGUCAACUUGACUU